Pantherophis guttatus is the source of this 1358-nucleotide non-coding RNA. The record is from RefSeq and is a predicted model, not a curated record. NCBI's taxonomy places the organism in Eukaryota, Metazoa, Chordata, Lepidosauria, Squamata, Colubridae.
CGGAAGCGGGGAGCAAGUUCUCUGCCUCGCUCGGUGUUGCCUUAGGGCGUCUUUCUUGUGGCCGCUAAAAGGGCCGUUGGACGCAGAGAUGACGAGUGGCGACCUUAAGACGCCGCGGGCCGUCCUGUGGUCGCGUCGGUUCUCUCUGCUGUACGCGAUGGGAGUGUGGACGAUUAUUGGGUAUUUCGUGUCCCGGUCAGUGCGUUUCAGGGAGAUACCACGGGAGGAAAAGGAGAAAGGCGGGCAGUCGCCGCCGCCGCCGCCGCCGCCGCCGCCCGAUCACAACGAAUAUUCCAGAAGUGUUUGACAGGAGCAGAAAAUCAAGACUGAAACUGGAUUCAAAUUAACAGCAAAAAACUACUACAUCUAAUUUUGUGCCAUAUUCUUCUCAUUUGCAUAAUAGAAUGCUGACACUUUAUUAUAAUAUUGGGAAAGAAAAGUAAAUUACAUUGAAAAAAAGCAAAGUAUCAGUGUCUAACUUUUAUUAAAGAGUUGCAUGAGAUCUGAUUUUGAAAUAACAGUAAUUGGAAAGUAUUAUGAAACUGUAACCCUGCUUCAUCUUCAUGCAUUUGAAUAUAUGGAAUAUAAUUUUAUAUUUUUUCUUUUGUUUAUAAUUUAUUUUAAUACCUUUUCCUGAAAUUCUGCUAGCAUGUGUUUGAAAUCCUAAAGAAGAGUAAAUGUGAUUGAUUCCUUAUUUCCUCUUUCAGAAACCAUACAUAUUUUUCCCAUAGAGCUUGGUGUUUAUGAUAGCUAUCUUUGUUUUCAAGGAUAGAGAAUUUCUGUAGCACUUAGCUCUGAUGUUGGAGUUGGAAAAAGGUGUUAGAUAGUUUCUGAAUAUGGUAGAAGUAACUUUUGACCUUGCAGGUUUCAAAUCCUCCCGGUUGACAGAUACAGUUCAGGCUAGCUAUACUAUGCAUUGCUGGUUUCAUGACAAGGAAUGCAUUCAACUUUUUUGAACCAGUGUUUAUAAAGGCAUAUGCGGUAUUUUGGACUUUUUUAAAAAACUAAAGUGGCAUAUUCCUUACCAUACAAGGAGUUUCAAGAAGGCUUGUUCUCUUCAACCCUACCUAUAUCAUUUUUCAACAUACUUGAAAUGGAACAGUUUAUAAAUGGUUUUUCUCUGUGUCUGAAUAAGACAAGGUAUAGUUCAACAAUGUUAUCUAUGAAGUGUAAAUAAGAUACUCUUUAAUAUUUUUCCCAAAGUCUCAUUAACUGGUUUAAGCUCUGAAGUUUGCCUAAUCAUGAUAGAUUUAUGAACUGUAUUGCUCCUUUGUGCCUUUGAGCAUUUGCUUGAUUAUUUGAUGGAAGCUGGCAUUUUUAGAAUUUACAUCAACCUCAAAAUAAAGGUAUUCAAUGUA